RNAcentral lists this transfer RNA (65 nucleotides) under Ceruchus minor. Its description in RNAcentral is "tRNA-Tyr". Lineage: Eukaryota; Metazoa; Arthropoda; Insecta; Coleoptera; Lucanidae. The record is from RNAcentral.
AUUUUAAUGGUCGAGAUUAGGCGUUAAAUUGUAAAUUUAUUCACGAAAUCAAUUCUCUUUUACUA